GUACUCGCUUCGGCAGUACAUAUACUAAAAUUGGAACGAUACAGAGAAGAUUAGCAUGGCCCCUGCGCAACAGUGAGAGCGGUUAGGCAUUGUU
RNAcentral lists this unclassified non-coding RNA (94 nucleotides) under Melitaea cinxia (Glanville fritillary). Lineage: Eukaryota; Metazoa; Arthropoda; Insecta; Lepidoptera; Nymphalidae. The record is from RNAcentral.